GUGCUUACUUAAGCAGCACGUGUACUAAAACUAGAACCAUACAGAGAAGAUUAGCAUGGCCCUGCACAGGGUGACAUGCAGAUGAGUGAAGUGUUCCAUAUUGUG
Molecule: small nuclear RNA, 105 nt
Organism: Diceros bicornis minor
Lineage: Eukaryota; Metazoa; Chordata; Mammalia; Perissodactyla; Rhinocerotidae
Source: RefSeq, a predicted model, not a curated record